Mustela lutreola (European mink) is the source of this 1551-nucleotide long non-coding RNA. RefSeq lists it as uncharacterized. The transcript has 2 exons. The record is from RefSeq and is a predicted model, not a curated record. NCBI's taxonomy places the organism in Eukaryota, Metazoa, Chordata, Mammalia, Carnivora, Mustelidae.
UAAGACUACAACUCCCAGAAGACAGUGCGGCGCGCCUCAGGGCCUGACCAAUGAAAACCUUUGUUCGUCGAGACUCCCACCAAUGAGAGCCUUUUGACUUCGGGCCAAUGGGACAGUCCAUCGGUUGGGCCUCCAGCCACUGGGGGCGCUCCUGCCACAGACCCGGGCGAGGCGGUGUUGGGUCCGCAGCGGCGGCUGGCUGCUGCCAGCGGCUGUGGGCUGCGGCGCGAGGCGGGGUGUUGGGCGACUGGGCGUCUCUCGUUCCCCGCGGAGGGGAGCGGAAGGGCUGCCGAAGGACCCGGGUCUUGGGGGGGAUCGUCCUCCCAACCUAGCCGCUGGGGACUCGCGUCUGCGCGCGCCGCGGCGCCUUGACGGCCCUCGGGCCGGCCGCGCUCCCAAGCUUUGCUGCGGAGGCCCCGCUUGAGGAUGCCCGUCUGUCCUCACUGGUGGGGCUGCGCUGCGUUGAAACCGGGGCCCCAGCGUCCUGGCUGGCGGUGCUUUGCUCUUCCGAGCAUAUACCGCCGUUGUACCUAGAACCUCUGUCUGCGCACCGGAACCACAAGAACAUUUAAGCGAUUUGGAACAUUCUAGGAAUGGAAAGGCCCAGUGGGGAGUGACAGACAACAAACCAGGAACAGGGUAAAAGGGCAAGCGACAGUGGUCACCGGCUGGGAUGGAGCGACUGGCAGAGUUCACACUCUCUCCCAUCUCUGUCCUCUCCUCCCCGCCUCUCUCUCCCCACCGCCCCCAACUCCUCCGCCCGAGAACAGCGACCAGUCUGCUCUCUGCUGGACCUCUUCCCCUGCCGCUCCACCCCAGGACACAUCGCUACAAGGGCAGCAGUACCAGGAUGAGAAUUUUUCAGGCAUCUUCAGCAGUGGCUGCUGUGGGAACCAUGAAUCGGGCAGGCUCCAGAGACUGAAUUUGGCCGCUACUGGGUACCAACAAAAUUUCUGAGCAGUAUUCCUUUCUGGGGGGGCGGAGAAGGUCCCAGGAGGAACUGUUGCCUUCCCCUUAGUGUAACGGCCUAUUUAGCCAGAGCAAUUCCAUCCGGUAAAACGGUGAUUUUGUUGUUUAUACAGUAAAACUUAAACUGACCCUGCCCCCCCCCCCCCACUUACUUAGAAGCAAGUCCGGGAGACCAGUCCCAGGUAACAGAGCCCAAAUACAAGGGCUCAGGCCAGGUGGAGAUAUCCAAUCAGUGGAGCACCCAUACUGUCUCCCUAGCUACCAAGGAGUGUGGGCCCCGCCUUUUGGGAGCCUUUUGGGGGCCAAUUCUGACCAAGGUGAUAGGCUAGUUCAAAUAUCUACUAUAGGGUAAAUUGUAAUUCAAUUAGCCCCCCGUGUGUGACCUAGCAUGACUGUGCAGCUUUUUCUGUGUGUUACAAUCUCACUGGCCACCUGUGUGUGGCCAGGCUCAACCACAUGGUCUUUGUCCUUUGAAAGGUCGUCUGUAAGGCUGGAAGGGGUCGCUCUCUCUGUAAGAGGCGGCCUGGAUCGGUCAGUUUGAUUAUUGAUGCUUGGCACAAAAUAAAGCUUUGCUUGACCUUC